Molecule: ribosomal RNA, 468 nt
Filed under: uncultured bacterium
Lineage: Bacteria
Description: partial 16S ribosomal RNA
Rfam family: Bacterial small subunit ribosomal RNA
Source: RNAcentral
GAUGAACGCUGGCGGCGUGCUUAACACAUGCAAGUCGAACGGAAAGGCCCAAGCUUGCUUGGGUACUCGAGUGGCGAACGGGUGAGUAACACGUGGGUGAUCUGCCCUGCACUUCGGGAUAAGCCUGGGAAACUGGGUCUAAUACCGGAUAGGACGAUGGUUUGGAUGCCAUUGUGGAAAGUUUUUUCGGUGUGGGAUGAGCUCGCGGCCUAUCAGCUUUUUGGUGGGGUAAUGGCCUACCAAGGCGUCGACGGGUAGCCGGCCUGAGAGGGUGUACGGCCACAUUUGGACUGAGAUACGGCCCAGACUCCUACGGGAGGCAGCAGUGGGGAAUAUUGCACCAUGGGCGAAAGCCUGAGGCAGCGACGCCGCGUGGGGGAUGACGGCCUUCGGGUUGUAAACUCCUUUCGCUAGGGACGAAGCGUUUUUGUGACGGUACCUGGAGAAGAAGCACCGGCUAACUACGUG